GACAGAGGGUGCAAACGUUGUUCGGAUUUACUGGGCGUAAAGAGCUCGUAGGUGGUUUGUCGCGUUGUUCGUGAAAUCUCACGGCUUAACUGUGAGCGUGCGGGCGAUACGGGCAGACUGGAGUACUGCAGGGGAGACUGGAAUUCCUGGUGUAGCGGUGGAAUGCGCAGAUAUCAGGAGGAACACCGGUGGCGAAGGCGGGUCUCUGGGCAGUAACUGACGCUGAGGAGCGAAAGCGUGGGGAGCGAACAGG
RNAcentral lists this ribosomal RNA (253 nucleotides) under uncultured bacterium. RNAcentral's name for it is "partial 16S ribosomal RNA". It matches the Rfam family "Bacterial small subunit ribosomal RNA", at positions 524 to 776 of the family's 1533-position model. The record is from RNAcentral.